This 1946-nucleotide unclassified non-coding RNA is filed under the name Schistocerca americana (American grasshopper). RNAcentral's name for it is "putative zinc metalloproteinase C607.06c, transcript variant X1". Lineage: Eukaryota; Metazoa; Arthropoda; Insecta; Orthoptera; Acrididae. The record is from RNAcentral.
UUAGUUUCGUGCGUGGGAGGGAGGCGUGGAAAGGCUCAAUUAAGUGACAAGUAGUAAAGGCUGCAGGUCUAUUGUAUGUGAAAUAUGCAUGUGUCGCUAGUAAUUUGAGUUCAUUUAUUAGUGACUUUGUAGGCUAUGCAUCUCAAUUGCGAGAUGGAGAAAGUAAAUACUCAGGGAACAGGGAUUAGUACUUGUAAUAGUGCAGAUCACGAUAUCUUUGUCUCCAAUCUGCAAAGCGGAGAAGUAUUGUGUUAUUCUGUAGUUCUUAUUAAAGGUGGAGUAACUAAUAAAAACAAUAGUCUGUGUGUUCCUCAAAACUGUAAAAUAAAACAGUUUAACAAUUUUUCGGGCUUGUCUAAAACAACGCAAUGGCCUAUUAUAAAUUUUAGGUUCAAAUGCUUAGUUGAGUUAAGUUUAGAAGAAAAUGAACUCGUUGUAGAAUGUUGUGGACGAACGUUAGAGUUAAAACUUCAUUACAAACCUAGGAAAACAUCACUUUCUGUUAUUCCGCUUUAUAUCGUAUGCCAUGGUCACGACGGUAAAUUCCAAGCUCCUGCCGGCGUUGAAAAUUCAAUCAGAAGUGCUUGCGAAAGAAUAGCUCUUGGAGCUAAAUUAAUUCAAACUGUUAUUGCAGAGAAACUGUAUGACUGUAAUUUUGGUCGUAAGACUUUUCAACUUGAAACAGACAUAGACCCAUCAGCUCCGGACUGUGUCACUUUUCACAGUCAACUUUCACACGAAAAAGCGCGAAAAAUGAACCCGCAUGAACUGUGGGAACACUUUGGGAGAGAACUAAUGAUGUCUUCUCUUGGUAGCAAUAAUCGAAAGUUCUUGGCAUUUCUGUCAUGUACUCGGUACAACCCACCAACUGAUGGAACUGUUCCAAAUACAUAUACAGAAAUGCUAUCUGCAAUGGAGGCUCAUGUUGCUCUGGGAGGUGGAGGGCUCGCUAUUUUCGGCAGUGCAUGUUUAUAUACUUGGGCUAAGACAGUGGAAGAUGUUAUACCAUACUUGACAAAUCAGACAAAAGUAGAUUCAAAGUACUUCAUGGAUGACAGCUGCUAUAGGGGAACAUAUGGCAGCUGUUUUUCAACCACACUGGGAUCAGCUUUACAUGAGCUUGGCCACACCUUUGACUUAGGUCACUCUUCUGAUGGUAUAAUGGGAAGAGGAUUUGAUAACAUUGAUCUGGUUUUUACUGUGCCCAAAAAUGAUAAUGAAAACAGGACUUCUAGCAAAACAUGUGCACACAUUGUGAAACCAGUUUUCAGGGAAUUAUCACAGAAUUCUACUGUCUGUUUAACAAGAUUGUUACAGGUUUCAUAUACAGUAACACCCCUAGAAGAGAAACUGAAGCAGAAACAGGAGAAUAUAAACAGGAGAGCAGAUUUUAAUAGCACAGAGAAUGUACACAAUGCUAAACGACAUGGAACUGGCAAGAAAUUUGCCAGUCAGAGUGGCAAUAAUUUUGAGAAGACAAACAGCGUACAGAACAAGAAACCAAACAACACUACAGAGAAACUGAUGGAUAUUUCUGAUCAUACAUAUUGGUCAAAAAGUUGUGCAGCUCUACUAUCAUACCAUAGGUGGUUCAAUGACUAUACAGAUGAGUUUUCUGGAGAACUGGUACUGGAUUCAGUUAGCUGUGUAUACAAUGAGGAAAUUAAAAAAGAUUGUAUAAGUCAGAUCUAUGGCAAGCAAAAUCUGAGAUUAUGUUGUUUAAAAAGGUGCAUCAGUUAAAAAAGAGAAUUAGUAUAGUCAUAAUAGUUCACCUUUAACUGACAGAAUUUGCAGAUUUCAUUUGUAAGAGGAAUGUAAUAGAGUCAUCUGUUGGUAUCAGAGUGGUGGAGAUUCGUGAUGGCUCUGGACAGAUUCUCUGUGACUGGCAGUUUCUAGAGGAAAAGAAAAUAACUGAAUUUGCACUGCCAUCUGAAGUAUAUUCUGAG